UUUUUAUGGAGAGUUUGAUCCUGGCUCAGGAUGAACGCUGGCGGCGUGCCUAAUACAUGCAAGUCGAGCGAACGGACGAGAAGCUUGCUUCUCUGAUGUUAGCGGCGGACGGGUGAGUAACACGUGGAUAACCUACCUAUAAGACUGGGAUAACUUCGGGAAACCGGAGCUAAUACCGGAUAAUAUUUUGAACCGCAUGGUUCAAAAGUGAAAGACGGUCUUGCUGUCACUUAUAGAUGGAUCCGCGCUGCAUUAGCUAGUUGGUAAGGUAACGGCUUACCAAGGCAACGAUGCAUAGCCGACCUGAGAGGGUGAUCGGCCACACUGGAACUGAGACACGGUCCAGACUCCUACGGGAGGCAGCAGUAGGGAAUCUUCCGCAAUGGGCGAAAGCCUGACGGAGCAACGCCGCGUGAGUGAUGAAGGUCUUCGGAUCGUAAAACUCUGUUAUUAGGGAAGAACAUAUGUGUAAGUAACUGUGCACAUCUUGACGGUACCUAAUCAGAAAGCCACGGCUAACUACGUGCCAGCAGCCGCGGUAAUACGUAGGUGGCAAGCGUUAUCCGGAAUUAUUGGGCGUAAAGCGCGCGUAGGCGGUUUUUUAAGUCUGAUGUGAAAGCCCACGGCUCAACCGUGGAGGGUCAUUGGAAACUGGAAAACUUGAGUGCAGAAGAGGAAAGUGGAAUUCCAUGUGUAGCGGUGAAAUGCGCAGAGAUAUGGAGGAACACCAGUGGCGAAGGCGACUUUCUGGUCUGUAACUGACGCUGAUGUGCGAAAGCGUGGGGAUCAAACAGGAUUAGAUACCCUGGUAGUCCACGCCGUAAACGAUGAGUGCUAAGUGUUAGGGGGUUUCCGCCCCUUAGUGCUGCAGCUAACGCAUUAAGCACUCCGCCUGGGGAGUACGACCGCAAGGUUGAAACUCAAAGGAAUUGACGGGGACCCGCACAAGCGGUGGAGCAUGUGGUUUAAUUCGAAGCAACGCGAAGAACCUUACCAAAUCUUGACAUCCUUUGACAACUCUAGAGAUAGAGCCUUCCCCUUCGGGGGACAAAGUGACAGGUGGUGCAUGGUUGUCGUCAGCUCGUGUCGUGAGAUGUUGGGUUAAGUCCCGCAACGAGCGCAACCCUUAAGCUUAGUUGCCAUCAUUAAGUUGGGCACUCUAAGUUGACUGCCGGUGACAAACCGGAGGAAGGUGGGGAUGACGUCAAAUCAUCAUGCCCCUUAUGAUUUGGGCUACACACGUGCUACAAUGGACAAUACAAAGGGCAGCGAAACCGCGAGGUCAAGCAAAUCCCAUAAAGUUGUUCUCAGUUCGGAUUGUAGUCUGCAACUCGACUACAUGAAGCUGGAAUCGCUAGUAAUCGUAGAUCAGCAUGCUACGGUGAAUACGUUCCCGGGUCUUGUACACACCGCCCGUCACACCACGAGAGUUUGUAACACCCGAAGCCGGUGGAGUAACCUUUUAGGAGCUAGCCGUCGAAGGUGGGACAAAUGAUUGGGGUGAAGUCGUAACAAGGUAGCCGUAUCGGAAGGUGCGGCUGGAUCACCUCCUUUCU
RNAcentral lists this ribosomal RNA (1556 nucleotides) under Staphylococcus aureus subsp. aureus N315. RNAcentral's name for it is "16S ribosomal RNA". It matches the Rfam family "Bacterial small subunit ribosomal RNA". The record is from RNAcentral. Lineage: Bacteria; Bacillati; Bacillota; Bacilli; Caryophanales; Staphylococcaceae. RNAcentral also lists the same sequence under 17 other names.